RNAcentral lists this microRNA precursor (106 nucleotides) under Canis lupus familiaris (dog). Its description in RNAcentral is "mir-8834 microRNA precursor family". It matches the Rfam family "mir-8834 microRNA precursor family". RNAcentral also lists the same sequence under 1 other name. Lineage: Eukaryota; Metazoa; Chordata; Mammalia; Carnivora; Canidae. The record is from Rfam by way of RNAcentral.
AGGAAGAACAACCCCAGUGGUGGCGGCCAGCUCUGGAGCCCUGGAUUCAGUCCCCACAGUAACUACAGAGCUCUCAAUCUGCAGGGUCUGGAGGCUCUGGGGCGGG